This 505-nucleotide ribosomal RNA is filed under the name Alternaria solani. RNAcentral describes it as "eukaryotic LSU rRNA". The stretch from base 154 to 307 matches the Rfam family "5.8S ribosomal RNA". The record is from RNAcentral. Lineage: Eukaryota; Fungi; Ascomycota; Dothideomycetes; Pleosporales; Pleosporaceae.
GGCGGGCUGGAAUCUCUCGGGGUUACAGCCUUGCUGAAUUAUUCACCCUUGUCUUUUGCGUACUUCUUGUUUCCUUGGUGGGUUCGCCCACCACUAGGACAAACAUAAACCUUUUGUAAUUGCAAUCAGCGUCAGUAACAAAUUAAUAAUUACAACUUUCAACAACGGAUCUCUUGGUUCUGGCAUCGAUGAAGAACGCAGCGAAAUGCGAUAAGUAGUGUGAAUUGCAGAAUUCAGUGAAUCAUCGAAUCUUUGAACGCACAUUGCGCCCUUUGGUAUUCCAAAGGGCAUGCCUGUUCGAGCGUCAUUUGUACCCUCAAGCUUUGCUUGGUGUUGGGCGUCUUGUCUCUAGCUUUGCUGGAGACUCGCCUUAAAGUAAUUGGCAGCCGGCCUACUGGUUUCGGAGCGCAGCACAAGUCGCACUCUCUAUCAGCCAAGGUCUAGCAUCCAUUAAGCCUUUUUUCAACUUUUGACCUCGGAUCAGGUAGGGAUACCCGCUGAACUU